GUGGGGAAUAUUGGACAAUGGGGGGAACCCUGAUCCAGCCAUGCCGCGUGUGUGAAGAAGGCCUUUUGGUUGUAAAGCACUUUAAGCGAGGAGGAGGCUACCGAGAUUAAUACUCUUGGAUAGUGGACGUUACUCGCAGAAUAAGCACCGGCUAACUCUGUGCCAGCAGCCGCGGUAAUACAGAGGGUGCAAGCGUUAAUCGGAUUUACUGGGCGUAAAGCGCGCGUAGGUGGCCAAGUAAGUCAAAUGUGAAAUCCCCGAGCUUAACUUGGGAAUUGCAUUCGAUACUGGUUGGCUAGAGUAUGGGAGAGGAUGGUAGAAUUCAAGGUGUAGCGGUGAAAUGCGUAGAGAUCUGGAGGAAUACCGAUGGCGAAGGCAGCCAUCUGGCCUAAUACUGACACUGAGGUGCGAAAGCAUGGGGAGCAAACAGGAUUAGAAACCCCAGUAGUCC
RNAcentral lists this ribosomal RNA (451 nucleotides) under uncultured bacterium. RNAcentral describes it as "partial 16S ribosomal RNA". It matches the Rfam family "Bacterial small subunit ribosomal RNA", at positions 354 to 796 of the family's 1533-position model. The record is from RNAcentral.